UGCCGGUCCCCUCGCAACGAUAAAUCGCGCAACCCGCCAGGCCCGGAAGGGAGCAACGGACGCGGUGGACUUGUGUGCCGAGGUGCGGCUGGCGGGA
This 97-nucleotide signal recognition particle RNA is filed under the name Alloalcanivorax dieselolei B5. RNAcentral's name for it is "Alcanivorax dieselolei B5 Bacterial small signal recognition particle RNA". It matches the Rfam family "Bacterial small signal recognition particle RNA". From Rfam's summary of the family: The signal recognition particle (SRP) is a universally conserved ribonucleoprotein involved in the co-translational targeting of proteins to membranes. Archaeal SRP consists of a 7S RNA and homologues of the eukaryotic SRP19 and SRP54 proteins. The record is from Rfam by way of RNAcentral. Lineage: Bacteria; Pseudomonadati; Pseudomonadota; Gammaproteobacteria; Oceanospirillales; Alcanivoracaceae. RNAcentral also lists the same sequence under 4 other names.